This 1298-nucleotide ribosomal RNA is filed under the name metagenome. RNAcentral's name for it is "bacterial LSU rRNA". It matches the Rfam family "Bacterial large subunit ribosomal RNA", at positions 1634 to 2925 of the family's 2925-position model. The record is from RNAcentral.
CGCAACGACCGUACCGCAAACCGACACUGGUGCGCGAGAUGAGUAUUCUAAGGCGCUUGAGAGAACUCAGGAGAAGGAACUCGGCAAAUUGACACCGUAACUUCGGAAGAAGGUGUGCCCUAUUAGUGUGAAGUGAACAACGGAGCAUGAAUGGGUUGCAAAAAAUCGGUGGCUGCGACUGUUUAUUAAAAACACAGCACUCUGCAAACACGAAAGUGGACGUAUAGGGUGUGACGCCUGCCCGGUGCUGGAAGAUUAAAUGAUGGGGUGCAAGCUCUUGAUUGAAGUCCCAGUAAACGGCGGCCGUAACUAUAACGGUCCUAAGGUAGCGAAAUUCCUUGUCGGGUAAGUUCCGACCUGCACGAAUGGCGUAACGAUGGCCACACUGUCUCCUCCUGAGACUCAGCGAAGUUGAAAUGUUUGUGAUGAUGCAAUCUCCCCGCGGAAAGACGGAAAGACCCCAUGAACCUUUACUGUAGCUUUGUAUUGGACUUUGAACAGAUCUGUGUAGGAUAGGUGGGAGGCUUUGAAGCAGGGUCGCUAGAUCUUGUGGAGCCAACGUUGAAAUACCACCCUGGUGUGUUUGAGGUUCUAACCUAGGUCCAUUAUCUGGAUCGGGGACAGUGCAUGGUAGGCAGUUUGACUGGGGCGGUCUCCUCCCAAAGCGUAACGGAGGAGUUCGAAGGUACGCUAGUUACGGUCGGACAUCGUGACGAUAGUGCAAUGGCAUAAGCGUGCUUAACUGCGAGACUGACAAGUCGAGCAGAUGCGAAAGCAGGACAUAGUGAUCCGGUGGUUCUGUAUGGAAGGGCCAUCGCUCAACGGAUAAAAGGUACUCUGGGGAUAACAGGCUGAUACCGCCCAAGAGUUCAUAUCGACGGCGGUGUUUGGCACCUCGAUGUCGGCUCAUCUCAUCCUGGGGCUGUAGCCGGUCCCAAGGGUAUGGCUGUUCGCCAUUUAAAGAGGUACGUGAGCUGGGUUUAAAACGUCGUGAGACAGUUUGGUCCCUAUCUUCCGUGGGCGCUGCAGAUUUGAGGAAGCCUGCUCCUAGUACGAGAGGACCGGAGUGGACACACCUCUGGUGUAUCGGUUGUCACGCCAGUGGCAUUGCCGAGUAGCUAAGUGUGGAAGAGAUAACCGCUGAAAGCAUCUAAGCGGGAAACUCGUUUCAAGAUGAGAUCUGCCGGGGCCUUGAGCCCCCUGAAGAGUCGUUCAAGACCAGGACGUUGAUAGGUCAGGUGUGGAAGCGCAGUAAUGCGUUAAGCUAACUGAUACUAAUUGCUCGUGCGGCUUGACCA